Long non-coding RNA from Photinus pyralis (common eastern firefly), 713 nucleotides. RefSeq lists it as uncharacterized. NCBI's taxonomy places the organism in Eukaryota, Metazoa, Arthropoda, Insecta, Coleoptera, Lampyridae. The transcript is spliced from 2 exons. The record is from RefSeq and is a predicted model, not a curated record.
AGAUAAGGGACUUUUAAUGUUGUAGAAUUCCUUACUUUGUUUUAAAAAGGUAAAACACCGACAAUAUCUUGGAUAGCCUCGAAUUAGAUCUGCGCCUAAACCACUUCUACUUUUAGUAAACCACCUCAUCUAAAUAGGAAAAUCAAUAUGUAAUUGGAACUUGGAACGAGCAGAAUAAAUUUGGGAGGAAGUUUGCUGCAAAUCAUCCUACAUCACCAACAGCUGGGGGUACUGCGGAUUUGUGCAAUAAAUUGAAUUACGAGUUACUGUGCCACUGACAUUUAUUAUUAACUCAUUUUGUCAUGGUUUAUAUAUUUAGACCUGACUAAAUGGUUUUUCCAUAUCAGUUUGUGUUUGUUAUUCAGUUGUAGAAAAAAACAGUGCGCAAUCGGUAUUCCUAUACACGAGAUUAUCGUAGGCGAUAUAAAAGUGUGAAAAGUUUUCCACUGAACCAGAAUCUUCUAGAAAGUCUUGCAAGAUGUUUCGUUAUUGUGUAUUUGUUCUUCUGGUCUUUUUGGUGUUUGUCAACCAAGCGAUUUGCGGUAAAUAUGAAGACUGCGUUGAAAUUAAUGGGUGCCGUUUACAACCAAUGCAUUUACAAGCCGCUUGCCAUGGGGCCUGUGCAAGGCUAUACCUGCAGUAAAAGUUAAAAACUAACUAAAUAAAGUAAACUAUUUUCUUUUUCGAAGAGCUAAUAAAAAUAUUUGUUGCGA